GCAGAGUAUGCCUGAUGGAGAUUUUAAUAUAACAAAAUUAUGAGAUUUUAAGAAUUAUCAAGAUCAUUUAACCAAGUUUGCCAUAAUCUAAUAUCUAUCUUAAAAAAUAGCUGGCUAAGUUGCCUAUAAAUUUCUCAAAAAUGUUUUUCUCAAUUUUGGAUUUAUAUCAUUGUCUUGCAUGCUCAAAAUGAUUUUUAGGGAGUUUCAAAACUUAUAAAACAACCAUUUUCCAGUUUCAAUUCACAAACACUGAAGUGUAUGCACUUUUAAUGUGCCUUAUAAUCCUUGAUCCUUAAGUAAGCCCUAAAAAUCCCUACCCCUUACUUUCUUAUUUGAUAUCUUGAAUUAUGUCUUUAAUUUUUAAACAAAAAUAUCAAGUUAGUAAAUAGCUGUAAAAAUG
This 400-nucleotide long non-coding RNA is filed under the name Mytilus galloprovincialis (Mediterranean mussel). Lineage: Eukaryota; Metazoa; Mollusca; Bivalvia; Mytilida; Mytilidae. The record is from RNAcentral.